CUGCCACGCUUAAAUACAGUUUAAAGGCUUGCAAUACUCCUAAAAAAAUCGCAGGAUAUGGAAGGGAAACUGUGUUCAGAAGCCGUCAAUCGCCAAACUAGAGCACCACAACUGCAAGCACAUGCAUAGUGAAAGAAAAAUUUAUGGGCUUCAACACCGUUAGGCUAUCUAUCUGCCACCAUCAGAUCGUCAAACUGGCUCCGAUUUGUUGAGAUCUUUGUCAAUUACAACACUUGGGUAAUUUCCAAGAAGAGUUGCUGGAACAAACUGAUAGCUACAGGCUCCUCUAGCUUAUGAUUGCUUAUGUGCACAAAGGUUUUGAAGUGCUGUGGAAGGAACAUUUUCUUCGAUUAUUGCUUUUUGUUGUAGAAACAUUUAUGAUAUUACUUUUUGAUAUGGUCUUCUAGGGUAAAUAUGAAGGAAAAUGUUACAUUCUUGUGGCAUUCUAACUAAUAUUAUUGUUUUGUAUUUUCUGCCAAAUCAGCUUAUAGAUAAAUAUUGACAAAUGGCAGGUGGUAGUUAUACAGGAGUCACAAAUCACAAGAAAUGUUGGUUGGAGUUAAAAAUGUGUCUUUCUUUCAACCUAUAUGUAUAUCCGAAGGAUAACACACUCUAUCAAAUCUAUGAAAUUCUAUAUGUAUUAUUUU
Long non-coding RNA from Quercus lobata, 647 nucleotides. RefSeq lists it as uncharacterized. The transcript is spliced from 3 exons. The record is from RefSeq and is a predicted model, not a curated record. NCBI's taxonomy places the organism in Eukaryota, Viridiplantae, Streptophyta, Magnoliopsida, Fagales, Fagaceae.